Molecule: ribosomal RNA, 791 nt
Filed under: uncultured bacterium
Lineage: Bacteria
Description: bacterial SSU rRNA
Rfam family: Bacterial small subunit ribosomal RNA
Source: RNAcentral
AGAGUUUGAUCCUGGCUCAGAUUGUACGCUGGCGGCAUGCCUUACACAUGCAAGUCGAACGGCAGCACGGGGGCAACCCUGGUGGCGAGUGGCGAACGGGUGAGUAAUACAUCGGAACGUGUCCUGUAGUGGGGGAUAGCCCGGCGAAAGCCGGAUUAAUACCGCAUACGACCUGAGGGAGAAAGCGGGGGAUCUUCGGACCUCGCGCUAGAGGGGCGGCCGAUGGCAGAUUAGCUAGUUGGUGGGGUAAAGGCCUACCAAGGCGACGAUCUGUAGCUGGUCUGAGAGGACGACCAGCCACACUGGGACUGAGACACGGCCCAGACUCCUACGGGAGGCAGCAGUGGGGAAUUUUGGACAAUGGGGGAAACCCUGAUCCAGCAAUGCCGCGUGUGUGAAGAAGGCCUUCGGGUUGUAAAGCACUUUUGUCCGGAAAGAAAACCUUUGCACUAAUACUGUGGGGGGAUGACGGUACCGGAAGAAUAAGCACCGGCUAACUACGUGCCAGCAGCCGCGGUAAUACGUAGGGUGCGAGCGUUAAUCGGAAUGACUGGGCGUAAAGCGUGCGCAGGCGGUUCGUUAAGACAGAUGUGAAAUCCCCGGGCUUAACCUGGGAACUGCAUUUGUGACUGGCGAGCUAGAGUAUGGCAGAGGGGGGUAGAAUUCCACGUAGCAGUGAAAUGCGUAGAGAUGUGGAGGAAUACCGAUGGCGAAGGCAGCCCCCUGGGCCAAUACUGACGCUCAUGCACGAAAGCGUGGGGAGCAAACAGGAUUAGAUACCCUAGUAGUCC